RNAcentral lists this ribosomal RNA (445 nucleotides) under uncultured bacterium. RNAcentral describes it as "partial 16S ribosomal RNA". It matches the Rfam family "Bacterial small subunit ribosomal RNA", at positions 354 to 796 of the family's 1533-position model. The record is from RNAcentral.
GUGAGGAAUAUUGGUCAAUGGGCGAGAGCCUGAACCAGCCAAGUCGCGUGAAGGAAGAAGGAUCUAUGGUUCGUAAACUUCUUUUGCAGGGGAAUAAAGUGCGGGACGUGUCCUGUUUUGUAUGUACCCUGAGAAUAAGGAUCGGCUAACUCCGUGCCAGCAGCCGCGGUAAUACGGAGGAUCCGAGCGUUAUCCGGAUUUAUUGGGUUUAAAGGGUGCGUAGGUGGUUUGAUAAGUCAGCGGUGAAAGUUUGCAGCUUAACUGUAAAAAUGCUGUUGAAACUGUCGGACUUGAGUGUAAAUGAGGUAGGCGGAAUGCGUGGUGUAGCGGUGAAAUGCAUAGAUAUCACGCAGAACUCCGAUUGCGAAGGCAGCUUACUAAGCUACAACUGACACUGAAGCACGAAAGCGUGGGGAUCAAACAGGAUUAGAAACCCGGGUAGUCC